UGGGGAAUUUUGCACAAUGGGGGAAACCCUGAUGCAGCGACGCCGCGUGAUUUAGAAGGCCUUCGGGUUGUAAAAAUCUCUUCUAUGGGAAGAAAAUGACAGUACCAUAGGAAUAAGGACCGGCUAAUUACGUGCCAGCAGCCGCGGUAAUACGUAAGGUCCGAGCGUUGUCCGGAAUCAUUGGGCGUAAAGGGUACGUAGGCGGGUAAGCAAGUUAGAAGUGAAAUCCUGUAGCUCAACUACAGUAAGCUUUUAAAACUGCUCAUCUUGAGAUAUGGAAGGGAAAGUGGAAUUCCUAGUGUAGCAGUGAAAUGCGCAGAUAUUAGCAGGAAUACCGGUAGCGAAGGCGACUUUCUGGCCAUAAUCUGACGCUGAGGUACGAAAGCGUGGGUAGCAAACAGG
Molecule: ribosomal RNA, 402 nt
Filed under: Verrucomicrobiota bacterium
Lineage: Bacteria; Pseudomonadati; Verrucomicrobiota
Description: Verrucomicrobia bacterium partial 16S ribosomal RNA
Rfam family: Bacterial small subunit ribosomal RNA
Source: RNAcentral